This 367-nucleotide ribosomal RNA is filed under the name uncultured organism. RNAcentral's name for it is "bacterial LSU rRNA". It matches the Rfam family "Bacterial large subunit ribosomal RNA", at positions 2099 to 2465 of the family's 2925-position model. The record is from RNAcentral.
CUUUACUGUAGCCUGUUGUUGGCUUUGGGUUCUGACUACGCAGCAUAGGUGGGAGACUUUGAAGUUGCUCUUGUGGGAGCAAUGGAGUCGUCAGUGAGAUACCACUUUGUCAGUACUAGAAGUCUAAUGGAUUACCGUGAUCCGGUGUCCAAACCGCAGCAGGUGGGCAGUUUGACUGGGGCGGUCGCCUCCUAAAAGGUAACGGAGGCACGCAAAGGUUCCCUCAGGUUGGUUGGAAAUCAACCGGAGAGUGCAAAAGCAUAAGGGAGCUUGACUGCAAGACCUACAAGUCGAGCAGGGACGAAAGUCGGCUUUAGUGAUCCGACGGUUGAGUAUGGAAUCGCCGUCGCUCAAUGGAUAAAAGUUA